AAAAGCAAAAAAAAAAAACCCAUACAAAUACAGCACGAUGCAGACAAUGGAUGGGUCAUACGUAUUGAACACAUAUACUCGUACAUAUGUUCGGUACCACAGAAGAGAAGUACUUCUGUGGCGGGACGGCUCGAGUCUCAAGGCAGGCAGCGAUUGGAUAAAAGCGAUGCACAUCAGGACACAAUUCAGACUUUCGCUCAAUCACCCAGGCAACACCAAUACACUUCGGAGAAUCCUUACACAUUAUACGAUGGCGAAUACAU
Molecule: long non-coding RNA, 263 nt
Organism: Drosophila miranda
Lineage: Eukaryota; Metazoa; Arthropoda; Insecta; Diptera; Drosophilidae
Exons: 3
Source: RefSeq, a predicted model, not a curated record